GAUGAACGCUGGCGGCGUGCCUAAUACAUGCAAGUCGAGCGAACAGAUGAGGAGCUUGCUCCUCUGACGUUAGCGGCGGACGGGUGAGUAACACGUGGAUAACCUACCUAUAAGACUGGGAUAACUUCGGGAAACCGGAGCUAAUACCGGAUAAUAUAUUGAACCGCAUGGUUCAAUAGUGAAAGACGGUUUUGCUGUCACUUAUAGAUGGAUCCGCGCCGCAUUAGCUAGUUGGUAAGGUAACGGCUUACCAAGGCAACGAUGCGUAGCCGACCUGAGAGGGUGAUAGGCCACACGGGAGCUGAGACGCGGUCCAGACUCCUACGGGAGGCAGCAGUAGGGAAUCUGCCGCAAUGGUCGAAAGCCUGACGGAGCAGCGCCGCGUGAGUGAUAAAGGUCUUCGGAUCGUAAAACUCUGUUAUGAGGGAAGAACAAAUGUGUAAGGAACUAUGCACGUCUUGACGGUACCUAAUCAGAAAGCCACGGCUAACUACGUG
Molecule: ribosomal RNA, 497 nt
Filed under: uncultured bacterium
Lineage: Bacteria
Description: partial 16S ribosomal RNA
Rfam family: Bacterial small subunit ribosomal RNA
Source: RNAcentral